UCAUGUUUAAGAUAUAGUGUUCGUUGAUUAAUUUAUCAAGAAUUCUAUAAUAGUGUAAUGAAAGAGAUUAAUUGUUGGCUAUUUUCCUAAAUAAACAGACUUUAACAACGAUGAUUACCUUUGAUCAAAAUAAAAUAAAAGUCAAUUUUUGUUAGCACGAGACCAGUAAAGAGACAAGUAUCCAAAAAUGAUGUAUAAUGCAAUAUAAGACUUUUCUCUGUUACCAAUUCUUAUUGCAUGACAUAUAAUUUCUCUGUUAAGAUUUAAUACUUGUUGCAUGACAUACAAUUUUGUAAUCAACAAUUAAUUUUAUACUGUUCCGCUAAUUAGCCUCAGAUCAGCUAAAAAAUGUCUGUCAUCGGUUCUAACCUACCUUACCGUUUCUUUGUGAAAAUGGCAAGACACCUUGUGUGGCGAUCAUUUCGUUGGCAAACCAGAGCUCUACGGAAAGUUUCCCAAACCUCACACCUAGUUUCUUGUUUGACUUGGUGAAAUUCAACUGCAACAACAUGUCACCAUCAUCGAAAUAAACCGAUGAACCGAAGAGAAUGGUAUUGAGCUUUGCAUUAGAGAUGUCAAAAACAGGGCUUCUUGGACUGACGACAAGAAAGAUAAUCAAAGUCGCAAUCCCAAAUAAGAGAGAAUUAACAAUUGUCUCGUGUAAAGGAUGUGCUUCAAUACCGUCUAGCGUAGGCGUUGCAUGAAUCUUCUAAUUAGAUAAAUGUGAUUAGGACAUAAUCACUUCGAUAAGAGCUAUUGGCAUGUUGUGGCGUAUCUAGAAAAACGUUUAACCAGGUUUUUAUAUUUAUAUUUUU
This 815-nucleotide small RNA is filed under the name Arabidopsis thaliana (thale cress). RNAcentral's name for it is "ATSL299760". Lineage: Eukaryota; Viridiplantae; Streptophyta; Magnoliopsida; Brassicales; Brassicaceae. The record is from RNAcentral.